Camelus dromedarius (Arabian camel) is the source of this 5744-nucleotide long non-coding RNA. RefSeq lists it as uncharacterized. The transcript is spliced from 3 exons. Lineage: Eukaryota; Metazoa; Chordata; Mammalia; Artiodactyla; Camelidae. The record is from RefSeq and is a predicted model, not a curated record.
AGGCUCGCGGUUGACUAUGACGCUUUUCCCUGCGCCAAUCGUGGGGCCACCUGAACGUUGCCUAGGUGAUCAGGAAGAGCGCGCCACUCCGCACAGCUUACGCGACACUAACUACAUUAAUCAAAAAGACCGUCCAGUGGCCACACCAGUGUUGACCAAUGAGAGCUCAGGAGACGGGCAUUUCCGGACGUCUGUGGGACUCUGACCAGUGGUAGUCUAGGAGAGGGGCGUUUCUGGGAGGGCCGCCCUGUUGGGGGCGGGACUUUCGGGGUCGGACUGUUGCUUCCGUGUCCCGCCGUUAUGGCGGCGCAAGGUAGAGGAACCUAGUUGCUGGGCUGUGGCCGGCGUCCAAGAGGCUUUCUGGUUUGCAGAAACUGGAAUGGGGUAGACAUGAGAGUCCGGGAGGUCCCGCUUCUGUGCCCUGUACGCCCGUGCCCGCAGCGAGUGCUCCGCCGCCCCGAGCUCAGUGUCUCUGCCUGUCAGGGCGCGGCCCCGCGAGGGGGUGUCCGCCGGGGCCUCCGUCAAGGCCGUCUGUGCCGGUGGCCUCCGCGGAGUUGUCGCCCUUGGCGUUGUGUCCGCUUUCCGGGGUAGAAGACUCAGGCUCAAAAGCCACCCAUCCCGAGGCUGUGACCCAGCGUGUGGCUGGACUGCAGGCGUGAUAAGCGAGCCCAUGGUCUAGGCACAGGUGAGGUGGGUCUCCUGGCCUCCACCCGGCUGGACUCCGAGCCCCAGUGCCCCAAGGCCGUGAUUGAGCCGCAGGCCUCGGUGUUAAGGACAGUGUUACGUUCACAGGUGUAAAGUCGGAGUUGUCUGGAGACCCCUGAGUGGCGGUGACACAUGAGUCGUGAACAAACAAGGACUUCCCAUUUGGCCUCUGGAUGCCCAGGCUGCAGUGCCCUGGUGGCCUGGAUCAGGGAAAGAUCUGCGAAUGCGAUUUUGGAAGGAAAGUCCUAGGUUGUGGUUGCAGAUGGGCCCUGAGGUGAGUGUGCGCUGUCCAGACUAGGAACCGGUGGCUGGGUGGAGGAGAUGGGUGCAGAGAAAGAGAAGCACUGUGCACACACCAGUGGAUGUGGGGAGAGUGCACACCCAGGAACAGGCCCUGCUCUCAGAUGUGAAAGGGUGAGCAAGAGUGUCCAGGGACAGCAUUUGGAAGCAUAAGAGGAGGCUGCAGGCAGGACGGAGACUGGGGUCCCAGGUCCAGUGCCCAGUGCUUAGAUCAAAUCCAUGUGCUCUUUGCCUGGUGUUGCAGGGCCCAGGGACCUUUUUCUGAAGAAGUGGGUCUCCUUAGUGAGGUCCAGCGGGGCUUCUGCUGUGGCGUGGUGCUGUCUUUCACCAGGCCAGGCUGCUGUUUUCCUGAGAGAGGAGCUGCUGGCCCCAGUGCUGGCCUGUGUCCUGCUACCUCUCCUUCCAGACUACUGUGUAAACAAGCCCAACCCCCUUGGUCUUGGGACUUUGACAACCAGGGUCAGAAGUAUCACUGCCCGAAUAGCACAUCACACCCAGCUCCAUUAUUUUCUGGUCAGGUAACUCAGUCAGGCUCUGUGACUUUUCCAUCUCUCUGUCACGCCUCCUCCAGCAAAAGUUUUCCGCCAUCUGUCCCUUGUCCACCCCUUUACUGGCAUCAUGGGCACUCACAGGGUCACUGAUUCUGGAGCCACGGAGCUCUUCCAGUGAGGCCUUCCCUGGGUGUUCAGUUUGCCAGGUUCGGUUCUCUCAGGUGCAUAAGUGGCCCUCAGCCACCUUGGUCACCAGGUCAGAGGGUGAAUCACAGGGACCUGGGGCUGCUAACCUCUCACAAAUGCCUUGAAGAAUUACCUGCUGUGCUCCCACCGGCCCAAAGCAGUCACCCAGCUUGAACAUCGACAGGGGACCUGGCUGGUGGAAGGGCAGCUCCAGUCAGUCCAUGGCCAGAGAGGCCCGUGGAAGACUAGUUCUGGCCCCAUUGAAGAGAAAGGCUCAUGAGCACAGCUGAUGUUGAAAAGCUCCUGUCAUAUCUCAUCCUGUUUUGCGGCAGCAAGUCACCGUGCUGUGAGUGUUGUGAGCAGGAGAGCAGAAAGCUGCAGCUUCUGCAUGUUUGGGUCUAGUGCUUCACACUGGAUAAAGCUCCAAGUGCAUGGCUGGCAUGGAGGGGUGUCGCCACACUUGUGCCUUGCCCAGCACCGGCCACUUCACUCUGGGGAAAAGCCUUUGGAGGGCAGGAAAUACAGUAACGUCUUCAACUACUCCUUGUCCCCCCCCCCCCGCCUUGUUAACAUAUUAUUUAAAAUAAUCAGCCUCUUCUUUAACCUCGUUCAGUAUAAAAGAAUUAACAUUCAAGAGAGGCCCUACGAGUAGCCUUCAGGCACAGGCUAGACCUUGUGCAGAUGGGCCUCCAUCGGGGGGAGACACUGCCCUGCUGUGCUGGGUGAGGUGCGGAGGGCUGGGAGCACUGUGGCACCACUGGGUCUCAUGGAAGAAGCCUUGUUGUUUGACGAUCACUGCACAGUUGCUCAGCAUAAGCAGUCGCCUGUUCCCUGCCUGCAGUUCCCUGAGGGCGGGGCCCUGCACCCAGUGGAGUGGCACCUUGCUGUCCUCUCGUGAUUGACUUUGGCAUGGAUUGGACUACUGCUCCGAGCUCGGGGCCUGAUGGGAUAGUUUCCGGGGGCCUCUGGAGAAGACGCCCAUUCGCCGACGUGUGAAGCCUGCAUCUGACACCAGCAAUGCCCUUGUGGUGCUCCAUCAGGUCCUCAUGAUGUGAUGGUUUCAUCCCUUCCCACCACCCCGCUGCCUGGUCCUACUUGACAGUGAACCUGUCUCCAGUUACUCUCCUUGGAUGUUGGAGUCAUAGCCAAUGGAUGGCGUGAAUGGAGAGGGGCUCCCAGAUUAGCCAUCGGGGGCCUGUACACCUGGCUCGGGGCACAGCAGCAAGGUCUGGAGCAUCUCUGCCCAGCCGAGACUCAAUUUCCAUUUCUACCCCGUGCCCCUGGGAAAUGAAAGCACAAAAGCCUCUUUUCUGAAGCUUCUGACCUGCUUUCUCCUGGGGAAGAGUGUUUGGUCCAGAAGAAGCUGGGAAUGCUCCCCACGACACCACACCCAGGAUAAGUGUACAAGUUAAUGCUUUUACUUAAUUACAGAGUUGUGCAGCCACUACCUGACCCCGUUCCCAUUGCCCCAGACAGUUCCUUUGGGCACUUUUAUAGUCAGAACCUCCUCCCACCCCCCCAGCACCUGGCAGCCACCAAAUCUCCUCUCUGUCUCUAUGGUUCCCUUUUCUGGAUAUUUCGUAUUCAUGGAUUCAUACAGCAUGUAGCCUUUUGUGUCUGGUUUCUAUCACUUUGCAUAACGUUUUUGAGGUUCAUUCAUAUUAUAUCACAUAUCAGUAUUAUUUUAUUCCGUUUUAUUGCUGAAUAAUAUUCUCUUGUGCAGAUAUAGCAGAUUUUAUUCAUCACCAGUUGAUAGACUUUUUAAUUGUUUCCAAUUCUUGGCAAUUAUAAAUAAGGCUGCUAGGAACACUUGUCGACAAAUCUUUGCUUAGACAUGUUUUCAUUUCUCUUAGGUCAAUUCCUAGGAGUAGAAUUGCCAAGUCAUAUGGUAGGUUUGUGUUUAACUCUUUAGUAACUCCCACACCAUUUUCCAAAGUGUCUGUGCCACUUUAUAUUCUUAUCAGCACUGUAGGACUGUUCCAGUUUCUCCACCUUCUUCCCAACAUCAAGAUGACUUGGUGUUGUCAUCCUAGUAGGUGUGAAAUGAUAUCUCAAUGGAUUUUUUUUAAUCAUGGCAAAAUAUACAUAAAGCUUAUCAUUUUAACCAUUUUAAGCAUACAGUUCAAUGGCAUGAAUCCCCACAGUUGUGCAGGUGUUUCCCUUUAUGUCUCUAGAAUUUCUUCCUCAUCCUAAGGUAAGACUCUGCACCCAUUAAACAGUCAUCUCAGUGGAGUUUUAAUCUGCAUUUUCCUAAUAAGUAAUGAUGUCAGGCAUCUUUCCACAUGCUUAUUAACCAUCUGUUUAUCUUCCAUAAUGAAAUGUCUGUUCAUCUCUUUUGCUGAUUUCUAAUAGGGUUAUCUUCUUACCAUUGAGUUGUAAAGUUCUCCAGAGAUUCUGUAUCCAGAAUCCAUAUGUGUGUAUAUAUAUAUAUAUAUAUAUAUAUAUAUAUAUAUAUAUACACACACACACACACACAAGUAUUGUCUCUCAGUAUGUAGGUCGUCUUUUUUUAUUUUUCUCAGUGGUGUCUUUUGAAGAGUAAAAGUUUACAUUUUGAUGUAAAAUUUUACACUUGAAGUAAAAUUUAUUAGUUUUUCCUUUUAUGUACUUCCUUUUGGUGUCAUACCUAUAAACUCUUUGCCUGUUUUCUUAUAUAAAUUUCAGUUUUAGCUCUUAUGUUUAUGAUGCUUUUCAUAGUAACUUUUAUGUAUGGCGUGAGGUAAGGGUCUAAAUUCAUCUUUUUACAUGUGGAUAUCUAAUUUUCCCAGAAUCAUUUGCUGAAAAGGUGUACUUCCAAAUGUAACUUUGUUGAAAAUUAAUGAAGGGAAUUUUGGUACUCUCAGAUCUGUUCUGUUGAUCUCUAGAUCUACAGAUCUGUCUAUCCUUAUGCCAGUAGUACACUGUCUUGAUCACCUUAGCUUUAUAAAAACUUCUGAAAUUAGGUAAGGUAAAUCCCACUUUGUUCCUUGCCAAAGUUGGUUUGGCUGUUGUAGGUCUUGUAUAUCUAUACAAAUUUAGGAUCAGCUUGUUAGUUUCUACCCGGAACGUCAGCUGUAGUUUUGGUAGGAAUGGCAUGAAAUCUGUGUAUCAGUGUGGGAGUACUGUCAUUUCAAAACAUUGAGCCUUCUAACCCAAGAACAUGGGAUGUCCCCUAGAUGUUUCUCUUAGCACCGUUUUAUAGUUUUCAGAGUACAAGUAUUGGCACUUCUUUUGUUAAAUGUAUGUAUUCUCACCCUAUUCUUUUUUAGGCUACUGUGAAUGGAAUGGUUUCGUGAAUUUCAUUUUCAGGUUGUUUGUUGGUAAUAUAUUUUGGGUUUUCUCCUACCACCUUGCUAAACUUUACUAUAAUAGAUUUUCUUUUUAAAAUGGAUUCCUUGGGGUGUUUUUUACAAACAGGAUCACGUCAUCUGCAAGUAAAGACACUUCUUCUUCCUUUCCUUUUUGCAUUUCUGCUCUCCUGGGAAAGGCUGAAAGAGUCUGUGUUCUAAAUCUUUUUAUUUGGAUGCCAAGAGUGCAUCUGGGGAAGUGAGAGGGGCUCUGAAACCUUCAUGCUGAUCCAGGAGAAGAGGUUGCCUUUUCUUGUUGUAAAGGAUGUUUCACAUCACAUCACAGCAAUGAUGACAGGAAGCUCAUCUGCCAGGCUGGGAGAUGUGCCCUCUGGACCCCCGAUCCUGUGAGGCAGGGUCACCUCCUUGUAUUCAUGCAAGAGCCAGGUGGGUAUAUUAAGUGGUAAAGAAACACUGGGUGCGAGGAAAUGGAGUGGGAGAGACUGGCAGCCUGGAGUGACUGUGCCCUUUCUGUCAGGCAGCUGAGACGCUUUGACGAUGGUGUCCAUGUGGGUGAUGGUAUGCAUACCUGCCAUCGUUAAACAUAGGGGAGUCAUUGUCAGUCAGCUCUUACACAUAGGGGAGCCUGAAUCCUAGAGCAUCUGUAACUCGUCCAAGGGUGCACAACUAAUUACCAGCCGUGGUGUGUAGCUCCAGAGUUUGUGUUCUUUACCACCUGACUGUCUCUAGACCACCUGAGGGUGCUGUGAGCCUUAAAUAAAUAUCUUACACAGAA